Artibeus jamaicensis (Jamaican fruit-eating bat) is the source of this 4094-nucleotide long non-coding RNA. RefSeq lists it as uncharacterized. The record is from RefSeq and is a predicted model, not a curated record. NCBI's taxonomy places the organism in Eukaryota, Metazoa, Chordata, Mammalia, Chiroptera, Phyllostomidae. The transcript is spliced from 3 exons.
UCCCACCCCCUUCGAGUGUUCUGCCUCUCUGGCCCCAGCUGGAUGUGAGCACAGCUCGGUCAGCUGAAGCGCCUGCUGAUUCCCCAGAGGAGAGGAAGCGUGAGCUCCCGCCCCAUGGCAGGAGGGCGUAGAGGGCUGGAUGCAGGUGUUAUUGGAUGUAUAUAUUUGGGGGGGGGUUCAUGCCUACUUUCAACCACAAAACUACUGAUAAGAACUGAGUGACCCCAAGUGAAGAAGGUUCCCAAACUCAGACAACAUAGCCCUUCUCUUCCUCACAGCAGUUCCAUGCUCCUCAUAGAUGACCUGCUUUGUGCCUCGAGGUGCAAGCAGGGCACCAUGUGCCUGGCUCUCCAGCUCUCAGUGGCUGUGAUAGUGGCUCCAAUCCCUGCCCGACCCUGGAUCGUGUGGACAACAUGCUGGCACCCACUGAAGGUGCUGAACUAACCACCGAUGUCCCACCCAACUGGAGUGUCAACUGCACCUUCUCUGUUGCUGCUGAAGUCUCUGUCACAUGAUCUUGCUAACCCUUGUAUCUUUAAUGUCCUCUCACAUGGACAUUUUAACGAAACAGCUCUUUUUAGUUUCACUGGCUUUUUAAAACCAUGGCACCUGGGUCACAGGAUGUCGGGUGCAGCCAACAGUGGGCGAAAUCAUCCCUCCCUUCUGGCCCUGUCGGGUGUCAUUGAACCCAGUUUGUGUACUUUGACUUUUCUGUUAAGAGUGAGUUACUUCCCAGCAGUCCCCUGGCCUGGCCUGUAGAAACUGAACAGGGUUAUUCCCCUCUCUGCCAGCUAUGCCCAGGCUUGUCUGAGUCCUCCAUGCUUGGUCUCCAGCUAGGGUGACCGCCUGUCUGCGCUGGCCAGGGUCAGUCCUGGUUUAUGACUGCUGUACUGGCAUAAUUAUUUACAACUGUCCAUGUAACUUUUCAUUGUCCAGGUUUGGGUGGUAAAUUGUAUAGUAUGCCUUUCAAGCCAUCUCCAGGAAAGUUUUCCAGAGGUGAAGCAGAAUCAACAGCCCAUUUUAGAACAGUCAAGAAAGAGGACGUAGAAAAGAAUUUCGAACUCCGAAGCCUGGUUGGUGGUGGUGCUGCAGAGAUCUGCCUCGUUCGCUGCCCUGCUUUUCUGCUCGGCCCCAGGGCUGGCAGCCACUUGGCUCCACCUUCAGGCCCUGCUGGGCUCUGGGCCGAGAUAGAAAGAGCUGCAAUAGAUGGACUGCUCUGAAACUCAGUUGCAGGUUAACAAUUGUGGUGGUGGGCCCCUCCGGCAUUCCCUGCACCCAGCUUUUUUCUAAUCUCUGGCUUCUGCUGUUUUCCUGAGAGAGUUUCUGUCUCAGUUCUGAGUGGAGGCCUAAUGAUCUCUUGCCAUCCCCCCAUCCCUGGCCUGCCCUGGAACUGGACUCUGGCUCCUGACCCUCGGUCAGGUGGGUCCUGUGUGCACUGCAGCUCUCUCCAGGUGGCCUGUCCUACCCUGGUACUUGCUGUGCUCCCUCCCACUCCCCCAAAGCACCUGCUCUUUGGAAGCCAUUUCGUAACCUCUUGUUGCACCAGCAUGAGGGUUCCCGCCACAGUAGGGCAGCCCAUCAGAAAGAGCAGGGGCAUCGGAGUCACAUGACUUGGGCUCUCAAGCCCCUGACUUCUGAACUCAGGUAUGAAUCAGUGACGUGGGGCUGGAUCAGUCUUUGGGAAAAUCAAAUUUCUGAACUUGAGGAAUCAAGACUGUACUUAAAAGAAACUGGGGAGGAGAGCCUGGACCAGCUGGCUCAAUUUCCUGCCUUCAUGUCAGGAAGUUUGGGCAGCCCCUGAGGCCGGGCCUGUUCCCUCCCUGCUGCUACAAGCCCAGGCAGCCCUGCAUGGGGUGUGUAACUAACCCUUUCCCCCUUCUCAUCUCGUUGGUUUUGGGGAAACCAAUUUUUGAAAUUUGCCAAAAAUGGAGAAAGAAUCUUCUGCUCUUUAAACCUCUGUCUUUUAGUAAUACUUAGUUCAUUUUAAAUCUAACCUAAAAUAAGGAGAAAGAGUAUUAUUUUCAUCACUUCCCACUGUACUGAAUUCAGAGUGAGGUGGAAACACGUAUGUUAGAAGCAUCCAUAGUAAUGACCAAGACAUUGGCAAGGCCAACCAGAUAAUAGUUGUUCUUCCUGGAAUGGGAGACGACAGGGGAGAAAAGUAAGAUUUCAGUAAACAUCUCUCUCCUGUGCAGAAAUUCCCCGUGUGGGACUCAGAUCUGAUUAAAUGAGUCAGGCUUACAUUUAUUCCAGUAUAUUACAAACAUUUUUCAGCAUUCAGAAUGACUGCUGUCUCCGUGGAUUUGGCCAGUUCCUGGCAAUUCCGCACUUGGCUGCUGGUAUAAACCAGUGUGCCGAAUGCCUGGAAUGAUGGUCCGUGUCUGCGUGGCUUUCAAUCCAGGAAGGGUGUUGUCGAAACACCACGUUCCUCCCCAGGGUGGCCAAAUCCUGGUAACAGUUCUGUUCUUUCAGUCUAUUUAUCCUGAAACUUGACCAGAAAGCAUAUGGCCACACCCCUUGCUUCUGCAGCACACACCUGGGGGACCUCCCAUGGAUUUGACAAUGUCUAUCUGUCACUUAGUCCAGAAAUGGUUUUGUGACUAGUGCAUUAGUCAGAAAAUCACAUUCUGAACGAAGCAUGUCAGACAGAUUAUCAGAAAACACCGAUUCUUUCAGAGACUGUUAAAUCUGGAGGCUGGGCCAAGUCCCCAUUUGAGUGAUGGCAUUCUUUUUCUGAAACGUCCUUCCAGUUUUAUUUGAAUGAGUAUUAACCAAACUGUCCUCAGUGUAGCUGAUUCACACUUGUUCUUUGUGCUUCAGCCCUUUAUUAAGAAGAAAGGCUGUUCCUUGGCACAUUCUGCGUAGCAGUGGAAGCUGCGGAGAAGCCAAACAUUUUGUAGGAACAUGAGCAAGGACUGUCUUGGCACGUUUGUGGAGAGGGUUAGGCUGUGUGCUCUCGGAGACAGGGCUUUCUCGUCUGUCUUUUUAACGACCAUUAACUGUAUCGAGACAAGUGUCUGGCUCAUAAUAGCCACUCAGUAUUUGUUGAAUGGAUAAAUAAGUGAAUGAAUAAUUGUAAGUCUACCCUCUUUUGAAAUGCAUAUCAAAUACCAUCUUGUCCAUUCCUUCCUCUCAUUGUUCUCAGUUAAUUUUUAUUUAGUUAGAAGUCAUUUAAAAGCAUUUCUGUACUAAAUGAGGCAAAUUGAAAGUAAAUAUGGCUGUCUUAGCCGGGGCCUGGUGUGUACAUGUCCAUUUUUUUCAUUUAUUCCUGCCUCUCUUCCUCCCCUAACCUUCAUAGCUCUGAGCAGGAGGUAGCCCCCUUCCCCUGGCUCAGACUUUGCCUCAUCUGCCUCACAGAGAAAAAUCUGUCUGCAUCUAUAACGUUAUGUGGCCAUGACAUACUCACCUUUCCUAUAGUUUGAACGAAGCAUCCCUUCUAUACAAGACAGACCCCCUCCCUUCUAUUGAACUCUGCAGCACAAAUUAUUCAUCUCUUUUCUGCCUUCUCAUUGCUGUUGGUUUCUUACAGCCCAUUAGAAGAAUUAAGUCUCACCAAUAUUAAAACAGACACACACACACCAACAGAACAAUAAACUCCAAGCCCCGCCAACUGGCCUCUUAUCACUUUAACCCUCACAGCCUAGUUUUUCAAUAGAAAGGUGUGCAUUCAGAGAUUUGACUUUCUCACUUUAAAAAAAUCCUACUAUCCUUUGAAAAAUUAAACAAGAAAAAAAAGUCCUUUCAGAAGGAAAAUUCAAAAUCAGAAAAUAUGUCUCUCUUUAUUUUAUUUUAUUUAUUUAUCUUUAGAGAGGAAGGGAAGGAGAGAGGAAAAGAAACAUCAGUGUAUGGUUGCCUCUCAUGCAUCCCCUGCUGGGAACUGGCCUGCAACCCAGGCAUGUGUCCUGACUGGGAAUCGAACUGUAAUCUUUGGGUUCACAGGCCCGUGCUCAAUCCACUGAGCUACACCAGGCAGGGCUAUUACCUAUUUUUCUUUCUUGCUAGUUAGACUUCUUAGGACAAGAACAUAAAUCCCAAAUCUAAUUACAUUUUUCAUGGAACUUUCUGUUGGUAAAAUCUCUUGACAACAAAAGAGA